GAUUGAAACGCUAGCUACAGGCUUAACACAUGCAAGUCGAGGGGCAGCAUUUCGCUAGCAAUAGUGAAGAUGGCGACCGGCGCACGGGUGAGUAACACGUAUCCAACCUGCCGAUAAACUCGGGGAUAGCCUUUUCGAAAGAAAGAUUAAUAUCCGAUGGCAUAUUAAAACCGCAUGGUUUUUACUAUUAAAGAAUUUCGGUUGUCGAUGGGGAUGCCGUUCCAUUAGUUUGUUGGCGGGGUAACGGCCCACCAAGACUACGAUGGAUAGGGGUUCUGAGAGGAAGGU
This 288-nucleotide ribosomal RNA is filed under the name uncultured bacterium. RNAcentral's name for it is "partial 16S ribosomal RNA". It matches the Rfam family "Bacterial small subunit ribosomal RNA", at positions 32 to 304 of the family's 1533-position model. The record is from RNAcentral.